GCCUCGGCGCCUGCGCAAGGAGCGCGAAGCUCUCACAUGUUGCGACUCUGAGGAGGCGGGUCGUGGCGGAAUCUUCGACUGCGAGUGGGGCAAGAGGAUUUGUGUCUUCAGAGGAUGAUGGCAAACCACCUUGUAAAACCCGACUCUAGAAACUGCAAGAGGACAAGAGAAUUGGAGCCUCAGUUGUCUGAGAGUCCACAGGUAUCCUCUCUUGGGAAAUCAGAUUCAUCUCUCUCUGAGUGUUCUGGACUCUUUUAUAAAGAGGAAGCUCUGGAGAAGGAUUUGAGCGAUAUGAGCAAGGAAAUUAAUCUGAUGUUGUCUACAUAUGCAAAGGUUUUAAGUGAAAGAGCAGCAGUAGAUGCAUCUUACAUUGAUGAGAUAGAUGGACUCUUCAAAGAA
This 399-nucleotide long non-coding RNA is filed under the name Rattus norvegicus (Norway rat). Its description in RNAcentral is "long non-coding RNA NONRATT028541". Lineage: Eukaryota; Metazoa; Chordata; Mammalia; Rodentia; Muridae. The record is from RNAcentral.